Molecule: ribosomal RNA, 580 nt
Filed under: uncultured Bacillus sp.
Lineage: Bacteria; Bacillati; Bacillota; Bacilli; Caryophanales; Bacillaceae
Description: bacterial SSU rRNA
Rfam family: Bacterial small subunit ribosomal RNA
Source: RNAcentral
GUAGUCCACGCCGUAAACGAUGAGUGCUAAGUGUUAGAGGGUUUCCGCCCUUUAGUGCUGCAGCUAACGCAUUAAGCACUCCGCCUGGGGAGUACGGCCGCAAGGCUGAAACUCAAAGGAAUUGACGGGGGCCCGCACAAGCGGUGGAGCAUGUGGUUUAAUUCGAAGCAACGCGAAGAACCUUACCAGGUCUUGACAUCCUCUGACACUCCUAGAGAUAGGACUUUUCCCUUCGGGGAACAGAGUGACAGGUGGUGCAUGGUUGUCGUCAGCUCGUGUCGUGAGAUGUUGGGUUAAGUCCCGCAACGAGCGCAACCCUUGUUCUUAGUUGCCAGCAUUUAGUUGGGCACUCUAAGGAGACUGCCGGUGAUAAACCGGAGGAAGGUGGGGAUGACGUCAAAUCAUCAUGCCCCUUAUGACCUGGGCUACACACGUGCUACAAUGGAUGGUACAAAGGGCUGCAAGACCGCGAGGUUUAGCCAAUCCCAUAAAACCAUUCUCAGUUCGGAUUGUAGGCUGCAACUCGCCUACAUGAAGCCGGAAUCGCUAGUAAUCGCGGAUCAGCAUGCCGCGGUGAAUA